Molecule: ribosomal RNA, 529 nt
Filed under: uncultured bacterium
Lineage: Bacteria
Description: bacterial SSU rRNA
Rfam family: Bacterial small subunit ribosomal RNA
Source: RNAcentral
AGAGUUUGAUUAUGGCUCAGAACGAACGCUGGUAGCGUGGAUUAGGCAUGCAAGCGGACGGGAUCCGGAAGGUAGCAAUAUCGGCCGGUGAGAGUGGCGGACUGGGGAGAACACGUGAGCAACUUGCCCGCAGGACGGGGAAAACCGUUGGAAACGACGGCUAAUACCGGAUGCGGCGCGCAUGGGACAUCCCGUGCGCGCCAAAGGGGGCCGCAAGGCUCCCGCCCGCGGAGAGGCUCGCGCACCAUCAGCUAGUUGGCGGGUAACGGCCCACCAAGGCCUACGGUUAGCUGGUCUGAGAGGAUGACCAGCCCCACUGGGACUGAGACACUGCCCAGACUCCUACGGGAGGCUGCAGUCGAGGACCAUUUGCAAUGGGCGAAAGCCUGACAAUGCGACGCUGCGUGGAGGAUGAAGGCCUUCGGGUUGUAAACUCCUGUCAUGGGGGAACAGGCGAGGGGACCCAACACGUCCCUUAGUUGAGUGUACCCCAAGAGGAAGGGACGGCUAACUCUGUGCCAGCCGCAGC